GACGAAGGUGGCUAGCGUUAUUCGGAUUUACUGGGCAUAAAGCGCGCGUAGGCGGCUUGGUAAGUCGGAGGUGAAAGCCUGCAGCUCAACUGCGGUGUGCCUCCGAAACUGCCGGGCUUGAGUGCGGGAGGGGUGAUUGGAACUCCAGGUGUAGCGGUGAAAUGCGUAGAUAUCUGGAGGAACACCAGAGGCGAAGGCGAAUCACUGGACCGCAACUGACGCUGAGGCGCGAAAGCUAGGGGAGCAAACAGG
RNAcentral lists this ribosomal RNA (252 nucleotides) under uncultured bacterium. RNAcentral describes it as "partial 16S ribosomal RNA". It matches the Rfam family "Bacterial small subunit ribosomal RNA", at positions 524 to 776 of the family's 1533-position model. The record is from RNAcentral.